UACGGAGGGUGCAAGCGUUAUCCGGAUUCACUGGGUUUAAAGGGUGCGUAGGCGGGCAGGUAAGUCAGUGGUGAAAUCUCCGAGCUUAACUCGGAAACUGCCGUUGAUACUAUUUGUCUUGAAUAUUGUGGAGGUAAGCGGAAUAUGUCAUGUAGCGGUGAAAUGCGCAGAUAUCAGGAGGAACACCGGUGGCGAAGGCGGCAUCCUGGACCGAUACUGACGUGAGGAGCGAAAGCCAGGGGAGCAAACGGG
RNAcentral lists this ribosomal RNA (252 nucleotides) under uncultured bacterium. RNAcentral's name for it is "partial 16S ribosomal RNA". It matches the Rfam family "Bacterial small subunit ribosomal RNA", at positions 524 to 776 of the family's 1533-position model. The record is from RNAcentral.